This 292-nucleotide ribosomal RNA is filed under the name uncultured bacterium. RNAcentral describes it as "partial 16S ribosomal RNA". The record is from RNAcentral.
GGACUACCCGGGUAUCUAAUCCUGUUUGCUCCCCACGCUUUCGUGCAUGAGCGUCAGUGCUGGCCCAGGAGGCUGCCUUCGCCAUCGGUGUUCCUCCACAUCUCUACGCAUUUCACUGCUACACGUGGAAUUCCACCUCCCUCUGCCACACUCGAGCCUCGCAGUCCUGAAUGCCAUUCCCAGGUUAAGCCCGGGGCUUUCACACCCAGCUUACGAGACCGCCUGCGCACGCUUUACGCCCAGUAAUUCCGAUUAACGCUCGCACCCUACGUAUUACCGCGGCUGCUGGCAC